This 560-nucleotide ribosomal RNA is filed under the name Hansenula anomala. RNAcentral describes it as "eukaryotic LSU rRNA". The stretch from base 166 to 319 matches the Rfam family "5.8S ribosomal RNA". The record is from RNAcentral. Lineage: Eukaryota; Fungi; Ascomycota; Saccharomycetes; Phaffomycetales; Wickerhamomycetaceae.
CGCUUAUUGCGCGGCGAUAAACCUUACACACAUUGUCUAGUUUUUUUGAACUUUGCUUUGGGUGCAUCAGCCUAGCUGCGUGCCCAAAGGUCUAAACACAUUUUUUAAUGUUAAAACCUUUAACCAAUAGUCAUGAAAAUUUUUAACAAAAAUUAAAAUCUUCAAAACUUUCAACAACGGAUCUCUUGGUUCUCGCAACGAUGAAGAACGCAGCGAAAUGCGAUACGUAUUGUGAAUUGCAGAUUUUCGUGAAUCAUCGAAUCUUUGAACGCACAUUGCACCCUCUGGUAUUCCAGAGGGUAUGCCUGUUUGAGCGUCAUUUCUCUCUCAAACCUUCGGGUUUGGUAUUGAGUGAUACUCUGUCAAGGGUUAACUUGAAAUAUUGACUUAGCAAGAGUGUACUAAUAAGCAGUCUUUCUGAAAUAAUGUAUUAGGUUCUUCCAACUCGUUAUAUCAGCUAGGCAGGUUUAGAAGUAUUUUAGGCUCGGCUUAACAACAAUAAACUAAAAGUUUGACCUCAAAUCAGGUAGGACUACCCGCUGAACUUAAGCAUAUCAAUA